UCCCGGUUGGCCCGGGCAGUCUCGUCUGAAAAAUACAACAGACGACAAGGGUUGCGCUCGUUGCGGGACUUAACCCAACAUCUCACGACACGAGCUGACGACGGCCAUGCAACACCUGUCACUGGGUUCCCGAAGGCACGGCCCUGUUUCCAGGGCCUUCCCAGGAUGUCAAGGGUCGGUAAGGUUCUUCGCGUAGCUUCGAAUUAAGCCACAUGCUCCACCGCUUGUGCGGGACCCCGUCAAUUCCUUUGAGUUUUAAGCUUGCGCUCGUACUCCCCAGGCGGGGUGCUUAACGCGUUAGCUUCGCAGCCCAGGGGGUCGAUACCCCAAACUACUAGCACCCAUCGUUUACGGCGUGGACUAC
This 364-nucleotide unclassified non-coding RNA is filed under the name uncultured bacterium. Its description in RNAcentral is "contains 16S-23S intergenic spacer region". The record is from RNAcentral.